UGGGGAAUUUUGGACAAUGGGCGAAAGCCUGAUCCAGCAAUGCCGCGUGUGUGAAGAAGGCCUUCGGGUUGUAAAGCACUUUUGUCCGGAAAGAAAUCCUCUGGGUUAAUACCUCGGGGGAUGACGGUACCGGAAGAAUAAGCACCGGCUAACUACGUGCCAGCAGCCGCGGUAAUACGUAGGGUGCAAGCGUUAAUCGGAAUUACUGGGCGUAAAGCGUGCGCAGGCGGUUUUGUAAGACGGAUGUGAAUCCGGCGUNUACCGUGGGAACUGCAUUCGUGACUGCAAGGCUAGAGUAUGGCAGAGGGGGGUAGAAUUCCACGUGUAGCAGUGAAAUGCGUAGAGAUGUGGAGGAAUACCGAUGGCGAAGGCAGCCCCCUGGGCCAAUACUGACGCUCAUGCACGAAAGCGUGGGGAGCAAACAGGAUUAGAUACCCUGGUAGUCCACGCCCUAAACGAUGUCAACUAGUUGUUGGGGGAUUCAUUUCCUUAGUAACGUAGCUAACGCGUGAAGUUGACCGCCUGGGGAGUACGGUCGCAAGAUUAAAAC
RNAcentral lists this ribosomal RNA (550 nucleotides) under uncultured bacterium. Its description in RNAcentral is "partial 16S ribosomal RNA". It matches the Rfam family "Bacterial small subunit ribosomal RNA", at positions 355 to 900 of the family's 1533-position model. The record is from RNAcentral.